UCUCCGUUGGUGAACCAGCGGAGGGAUCAUUACAGAGUUGCAAAACUCCCAAACCAUUGUGAACGUUACCUAUCCCGUCGCUUCGGCGGGCGGCCCGGGCCCCGCGCCCGGCGCCCCCCGGCCCCCCGUGGGCGCCCGCCGGAGGUAAACCAAACCCUUGAAUUGCAUGGCCUCUCUGAGUCUUCUGUACUGAAUAAGUCAAAACUUACAACAACGGAUCUCUUGGUUCUG
RNAcentral lists this unclassified non-coding RNA (231 nucleotides) under plant metagenome. RNAcentral describes it as "partial contains small subunit ribosomal RNA, internal transcribed spacer 1, and 5.8S ribosomal RNA". The record is from RNAcentral.